GUAUUAUUUUAUGAUCUCUUUUGUUACAUCCUUAGUGUCCAAUAGGAUUUUUGUUGCGUUUGCUUUAUAUCUGAAAUUCUGCAUUUUAAUUCAGCUACACAAAUAAUGCAUCUUUUCAACAAAACUCAGAUACAAAUAAUGUUCUAAUAUUGUUAUUUAUUUCCAUACAGCAUUAAUCUCUAGUAAGUCUAACUUCGCAAUCUCUUUUCUCACUUUUCAAUACACCUCUAGCUUCCAAUUGUUUUGCCUAGAGACUUUAAGGCCUAUGACUGCCAGAAUGAAAGAUUGUUACCUCUUUUCCCUUGCUUAUUAAGAUGGCCAGAGGGUGUGAUGGCUCCUACCUGACUGAUACAAUUGAAAUCAAAGACUUGCCAAGUUAUACCAGCAACUCCAGCAAAACUGUGAACUUACUGGCCUUGGAGGACUAUGGAUUGAAACACACAAAACAUCUUUGGCUGUGCAUGCCCUUCACACUGGCUGCCUAGUCCCCUCACAGAAGAUUGUACCAUGUGGUAGUUGGCAAGUGGGCUGGAGCUGCUGCAAUCACGGGGAUGUCUGAUAUUGCAACAAAGGAAGCAAAACAGAGCUAAAUGAAUCCUGUGCAAUGAGGAGGCAUUUUCAGGUAGUGGCCAGAAACUAGAAACUGCUCUUUUCUGGUUAAAAACGUUUGUGACCCAUAAAACCUUCUCACUGCUUACUAAAUAGCACAGUUCUGAGAUACAAACCAGCAAAUUUACAAAUCACAAUGCUUUUCCUGCUGAAUCAAUAGCUGUAGCAAAUAUAUAUAUGUAAAAUGCAAUGGAAAAAUGAAGACCUCUUUAGAAGCCUGCAGAAAAUUUAUACUAGAUAUGAAAGUUUGAGCAAUCACGUAAAAGCCCUAGUCCCUUAACAUUGCUUUUAAGGUCAUCAGUGUCCUGGACGUUGGUGACUUCCCUGCACCCAUUUCUUCACUCCCCACCUUGAACUUCAUGUUUAACUCUUAUUUCUUCCAGUACUUAGUGAACACUGUCUUCUCUCUAAGCCUUUUCCUGGAGGAACAUUCUCUUGUCUGACUUCCUAAGUCUGAGUUAAGUGGUCUCCUAUGUCUCCUCUAAUAAACUUAUUUUACCCUGUCAUUAUUCUUAGUGCACUUAUUUAAUUCCCUGUUUACUAGCUUAUCCUGCUUCUAGGUUACAAGCUCUGGCAUAUCUGUUCUGUUCACCAUUGUAUCCUGAAUGCCUGGCACUUAGAAAGCCUUCAAUAAAUACUUGUUGAAUGGCGUUCAUUGCAGAAGCACUAAAGAAUUUUUGCAUGUUUUUACAUUAAGAAAAAUCUUAGUAGCAGGAUCAGAUCUCAGUCAUAUAGUACACUCAGUUGUGCAAACAUGAUUCCGGUAAUUUAUAUUCUUUAAAUAAACUGAAUUUUAAUUCCAAACUACUAUUUCACUAGGAUGUCAAGAAAUUUCAUCUCAGUCAUUUAGGGGCCAGAUCCUUCCCUGGGAUCUCACAGAACCAGGGAGGUUUAUAUGAGAUCCACGAAAUGGCUGAAAGGGCUCCACUGUCUUUCUGGUACUGCUCCUAGUCCACGCAUGAGGAAAGAAGCCCUGUCAAUCUCUGCUCCUAAGCUACACAGGGUUUCAAUAAUCUGAGCUGCUUCUGGGAAGCCCCUGCCCAGAGCCCUGUCUUCCUAGUUAUUCCUGCAAGGAAUUUGCUCUGAAGCCUGGUCACUGCCACGCCUUCUCCAGUUCACCCUACCUUCAUCAAUUCUGACCUCUUUUUUGAUCUUAGAAAAAUUUUACCUCCUCCACUUCCUUCUCAUUUCUCCCCUGAAUGUACCCUCCCCCUUUCAUUGGCACUUAACCUUUCAAAAUAGGACAGGCCUUAGAAUAACAAAUGCCAGGAAGGCAUCUUGUUCUCAAGCCCCAUAAAUCUCGGGCAAGAAACAUAAACGUCAUGGAUAAUCAGUUACAAAUAGGAAGUGGAAGGAAAUAUACAGAGAACAAAUAUCCAAAAUAAUUUUUCAACAGAGAAGACAACUACAAAAUCCUGCUACUUCUCGAUUUCCUUAUGUAAAGAUUUGGCCAGAUGGCCCAAGAUGUUAAUAAUGUUAGAUACAGGAUUGGAGAUACUGCAGAUGGGCAAAGAUCACAACCACUUCCCUCAGGCACAAGCUAAAAUGGGUACCAGCUUCUAGAAGCAUUUGGAAAUUAACAUCUAAAACACACUGUUUUAUUUAAAGUUUACUUUUCCUCUUUUUCUUUCUCUUUUGUAUUUAUAUAUACACACAUAUAUAUCAAUCAUAUGUGUAUGUGUGAUGUUUGCAUACAAUAAACUUACAUAUAUACAUGCAUACAUAUAUAAUACAUGUUAUAUGUAAGUAUAUAGUAUAACAUAUUUAUUUUGUAUUUGUUUAUUGUAUAUUAAAUUAUAUAUUAUAUUUAUAUAAUAUAUAUGUUAAUAAUAUUAGAUAGAAUUUGUAUAUUACAUAAUAUUGUAUGUUAUAUAAUGUGAAAGGAAAAUAUCUUGUGCCCCCAAAAUCACUAAGGUAAGGGGAAAAUUCAAGCUAAGAACUGCUUAGGGCAAACCUGCCUCCCAUGCUAUUCAAAGUAUUCCCUUUGCUCACUGAGAUAAAUGCAUAACUGAUUGCCUCCUUUGGAAAGACUAAUCAGAAACUCAAAAGAAUGCAACCAUUUUUGUCUCUCACCCACCUGUGACCUGGAAGCCCCCUCCCUGCUCCAAGUUGCUUAGGGAAAAAAAAUAAAAAUUAAAAAAAAAAUUAAAAUUCAGAUUAUUACAUCUGUGUAUCUCUUUGUAUGCACUUUCAAAGUACUUAUGACAUUGAGUUACAGGGCUUUGACUCUUGGGUCCACAAAGGGACACCAAGUCCUGCUAAAUUUUAAACACUGACAGCAAUUAAAGCCCCAUCUUCAGGCCCAGUACAAGAUGUCAAUCAAAAUAAACUGCAUUCCUGAAACAUAGAGCCAGAAAUUAAAGCUAUUCAACUCCUCAAGGCCCAGGGACUAUCAUGGAAAAGGUGGGUGUGUGAGAAUGUAAGAGUCAAUCCUGAGUUCAGUUUCUCUAUAAAUUAAUCAUUAAUGUCAAAGGCACACUGAUGCAAGACCAGCAUA
Molecule: long non-coding RNA, 3106 nt
Filed under: Homo sapiens (human)
Lineage: Eukaryota; Metazoa; Chordata; Mammalia; Primates; Hominidae
Description: HSALNT0367702
Source: RNAcentral